RNAcentral lists this ribosomal RNA (433 nucleotides) under uncultured bacterium. Its description in RNAcentral is "partial 16S ribosomal RNA". It matches the Rfam family "Bacterial small subunit ribosomal RNA", at positions 29 to 507 of the family's 1533-position model. The record is from RNAcentral.
AACGAACGCUGGCGGCAUGCCUAACACAUGCAAGUCGAACGAGACCUUCGGGUCUAGUGGCGCACGGGUGCGUAACGCGUGGGAACCUGCCCUUAGGUUCGGAAUAACUCCCCGAAAGGGGUGCUAAUACCGGAUAAUGUCUUCGGACCAAAGAUUUAUCGCCUUUGGGUGGGCCCGCGUUGGAUUAGCUAGUUGGUAGGGUAAAAGCCUACCAAGGCGACGAUCCAUAGCUGGUUUGAGAGGAUGAUCAGCCACACUGGGACUGAGACACGGCCCAGACUCCUACGGGAGGCAGCAGUGGGGAAUAUUGGACAGUGGGCGAAAGCCUGAUCCAGCAAUGCCGCGUGAGUGAUGAAGGCCUUAGGGUUGUAAAGCUCUUUUACCCGGGAUGAUAAUGACAGUACCGGGAGAAUAAGCUCCGGCUAACUCCGUG